This 615-nucleotide ribosomal RNA is filed under the name Triticum aestivum (bread wheat). RNAcentral describes it as "partial small subunit ribosomal RNA". The record is from RNAcentral. Lineage: Eukaryota; Viridiplantae; Streptophyta; Magnoliopsida; Poales; Poaceae.
AUGAGGACAGAACCAGUUCAUUGGGCUAGGGCAUUUUUCCCUACAGGAGCUAACUGUGAAUCAGUAGACAAUAAUCUUUGUGAGUCAUUUAACAAUGCCAUUAUAGAAUCAAGGUUCUAUCCAAUAAUUUCACAGCAAGAGAUGAUAAGAAAGAAAAUGCUUGUUAGGGUGCAAGAGCAGAGAGCCAAUUCAGCAAAAUGGAAGGGCAAAAUUUGCUCAAAUAUUUUCAAGAAACUCCAGGUCAGCAUUAGAUUGACACAAUACAUUGAGGUGCUCUGGAAUGGCAAGGAGGGAUUUGAGGUGCAACACAUGAAGGGUAGAAAGAAGAAGUACACAGUAAAUCUUGAAAAAAGGAUUUGUACUUGUGGUUACUUUCAACUGGCAGGCCUCCCUUGUUGUCAUGCUAUUGCAGCUAUAUACAAGAGUGGAAGAAAGGUAGAUGACUACAUAGACAAGUGCUACUGGAUUGAGACUUUCAAUAAAAUUUAUGAGCAUUGUCUCCAGCCUGUUCUAGGAGAAGAGAACUGGCCUGUGUCUCAAAACCCUAGGCCAGUUGCACCUGGAUACAUUGCCAUGCCAGGAGCAAGGAAGAAAAACAAUGAUAGAAGAAGAUAA